This 144-nucleotide unclassified non-coding RNA is filed under the name uncultured Leotiomycetes. RNAcentral describes it as "sequence contains ITS2". The record is from RNAcentral. Lineage: Eukaryota; Fungi; Ascomycota; Leotiomycetes.
CAACCCUCAAGCGCUGCUUGGUAUUGGAUGCCACCGGAUGCGGUGCAUCUCAAAAGCAUUGGCAGUGGCUUCCAGCUUCUAGUGUAGUAAUUUUCUUGCUUUGGAGUUUGGAUGUCUGCCAGCCAGAACCCCUAAUAUAUCAAU